GGAGGGGGCAAGCGUUGUUCGGAAUUACUGGGCGUAAAGGGCGCGUAGGCGGUAUGCCAUGUCAGGGGUGAAAGGCCUGGGCUCAACCCAGGAAUUGCCUUUGAAACUGGCAAACUAGAGUCCGAUAGAGGAUGGCGGAAUUCCCAGUGUAGAGGUGAAAUUCGUAGAUAUUGGGAAGAACACCAGUGGCGAAGGCGGCCAUCUGGAUCGGCACUGACGCUGAGGCGCGAAAGCGUGGGGAGCAAACAGGGAUUAGAUACCCUGGUAGUCCACGCCGUAAACGAUGUGUGCUAGACGUUGGGGGGUCUUAGACCCUGGGUGUCGUAGCUAACGCGUUAAGCACACCGCCUGGGGGAGUACGGCCGCAAGGUUA
This 373-nucleotide ribosomal RNA is filed under the name uncultured organism. Its description in RNAcentral is "partial 16S ribosomal RNA". It matches the Rfam family "Bacterial small subunit ribosomal RNA", at positions 527 to 896 of the family's 1533-position model. The record is from RNAcentral.